CACUGCCGAGAAAAGCCUCUAGAUAGAAAAUAGGUGCCCGUACCGCAAACCGACACAGGUAGUCAAGAUGAGAAUUCUAAGGUGAGCGAGCGAACUCUCGUUAAGGAACUCGGCAAAAUGACCCCGUAACUUCGGGAGAAGGGGUGCUCUUUAGGGUUAACGCCCAGAAGAGCCGCAGUGAAUAGGCCCAAGCGACUGUUUAUCAAAAACACAGGUCUCUGCUAAACCGUAAGGUGAUGUAUAGGGGCUGACGCCUGCCCGGUGCUGGAAGGUUAAGAGGAGUGGUUAGCUUCUGCGAAGCUACGAAUCGAAGCCCCAGUAAACGGCGGCCGUAACUAUAACGGUCCUAAGGUAGCGAAAUUCCUUGUCGGGUAAGUUCCGACCCGCACGAAAGGCGUAACGAUUUGGGCACUGUCUCAACGAGAGACUCGGUGAAAUCAUAGUACCUGUGAAGAUGCAGGUUACCCGCGACAGGACGGAAAGACCCCGUGGAGCUUUACUGUAGCCUGAUAUUGAAAUUCGGCACAGCUUGUACAGGAUAGGUAGGAGCCUUUGAAACGUGAGCGCUAGCUUACGUGGAGGCGCUGGUGGGAUACUACCCUAGCUGUGUUGGCUUUCUAACCCGCACCACUUAUCGUGGUGGGAGACAGUGUCAGGCGGGCAGUUUGACUGGGGCGGUCGCCUCCUAAAAGGUAACGGAGGCGCUCAAAGGUUCCCUCAGAAUGGUUGGAAAUCAUUCAUAGAGUGUAAAGGCAUAAGGGAGCUUGACUGCGAGACCUACAAGUCGAGCAGGGUCGAAAGACGGACUUAGUGAUCCGGUGGUUCCGCAUGGAAGGGCCAUCGCUCAACGGAUAAAAGCUACCCCGGGGAUAACAGGCUUAUCUCCCCCAAGAGUUCACAUCGACGGGGAGGUUUGGCACCUCGAUGUCGGCUCAUCGCAUCCUGGGGCUGUAGUCGGUCCCAAGGGUUGGGCUGUUCGCCCAUUAAAGCGGUACGCGAGCUGGGUUCAGAACGUCGUGAGAC
This 1023-nucleotide ribosomal RNA is filed under the name Staphylococcus aureus. RNAcentral's name for it is "partial 23S ribosomal RNA". It matches the Rfam family "Bacterial large subunit ribosomal RNA", at positions 1603 to 2627 of the family's 2925-position model. Lineage: Bacteria; Bacillati; Bacillota; Bacilli; Caryophanales; Staphylococcaceae. The record is from RNAcentral.